Epinephelus moara (kelp grouper) is the source of this 574-nucleotide long non-coding RNA. RefSeq lists it as uncharacterized. The transcript is spliced from 2 exons. Lineage: Eukaryota; Metazoa; Chordata; Actinopteri; Perciformes; Serranidae. The record is from RefSeq and is a predicted model, not a curated record.
GAAAUAGCUACUAAACAUUGGGGUCGUCAAAGGAUACGUGCAGCAUUUGGCCUACAAAUACUCCUGCUGGGUAUUUUGAUAUUCGCUGCCUAUUCUGCAAGAAUGAUGUGCUGCAGGUGUAUUUUGAUGUUCUGCCUAGGAACAUGUAUAAAUACUAAUAGAAACAGAACAAAUGCUGUUUCUGCUUAGUGCUAAGAUACCGAAACAGGUGUGCAGCAUCAACUAAAGCUGUGACUGGAAUACUCAAGACAACCACCUAAUUAAUCCAAUGUCUUGCCCAGAAAAGGACAGAAUGAAGCGUGAAGGGGCAAGAGAGGAAACAUGCAGCAAAGGGGUGCAGGCUGGAAUCGAACCUGUGGCCACUACAGCAAGGACUUUUCCUUUGUACAUGGAUGGCUGCUCUCACCACUGACCUACUGGGAGCCCUAUUUUGUCUUUGUUUUAAUUCACUGUUCUUUCUGUGUCCUUAUCUUAAAAAAUAACUGUUCAAAAGUCAUUAAUUCAUCAUAAUUACCACUCUAAUAUCUAUUUUAUAUUGUUGUGAGAACAUCAAUAAAUUUCUCUUUCAGACAGC